GAUGAAGAACGUAGCGAAAUGCGAUAAGUAAUGUGAAUUGCAGAAUUCAGUGAAUCAUCGAAUCUUUGAACGCACAUUGCGCCCGCCAGUAUUCUGGCGGGCAUGCCUGUUCGAGCGUCAUUACAACCCUCAGGCCCCCGGGCCUGGCGUUGGGGAUCGGCGGAGCCCCCCGUGGGCACACGCCGUCCCCCAAAUACAGUGGCGGUCCCGCCGCAGCUUCCAUCGCGUAGUAGCUAACACCUCGCGACUGGAGAGCGGCGCGGCCACGCCGUAAAACACCCAACUCUUCUGAAUUGACCUCGAAUCAGGUAGGAAUACCCGCUGAACUUAAGCAUAUCAAUAAGCGGAGGA
RNAcentral lists this unclassified non-coding RNA (351 nucleotides) under soil metagenome. RNAcentral describes it as "partial contains 5.8S ribosomal RNA, internal transcribed spacer 2, and large subunit ribosomal RNA". The stretch from base 1 to 120 matches the Rfam family "5.8S ribosomal RNA", at positions 35 to 154 of the family's 154-position model. The record is from RNAcentral.